Molecule: non-coding RNA, 560 nt
Organism: Peromyscus maniculatus bairdii (prairie deer mouse)
Lineage: Eukaryota; Metazoa; Chordata; Mammalia; Rodentia; Cricetidae
Source: RefSeq, a predicted model, not a curated record
GAAAAAUAAUGAUUUUUCAUUUUCUUUUCUUUUUCCAGGGCAUAUCAAAAUACAAUUUAGAAUGCCAUAAAAAGUAUGGAGAUAUAUGGGGGCUUUAUGAUGGAUUCCUGCCUGUGCUAGUCAUCACAGAACCAGAUAUAAUCAAGAAUGUGCUAGUGAAAGAAUUUUAUUCUGUCUUCACAAAUUGAAAUCAUCUUUGGGGCCUACAGCAUGGAUGUGAUCACCAGUACCUUAUUUGGAGUGAAGAUGGAUUCCCUCAACAACCCCCGGGAUCCCUUUGUGAAAAACACCAGAAAGCUUUUUAUAUUUGACUUUUUCAAUUCACUGGCUUUCUCUACAGCUUACAUGCUGGACCAAGGAUCCAAGGAUGUUUGCAGGAAAAAUGCUGACAAAAGGCUGUUGGGGCAUCAGCAUCAUGUCUGAGGAGGUGUCUCUGCUUAUUUGCAAGUAUGCUCAAAUGAUGAUUGGAGCAUUUGUAGUUGUGGUUGAUUGAAAGAAAACUGCUCCCUAAGAAUGUCACAAUUAGCAGUUGUGGCUUUGUUGGAGUAGGUAUGGCCUUG